Molecule: ribosomal RNA, 44 nt
Filed under: Melampodium pringlei
Lineage: Eukaryota; Viridiplantae; Streptophyta; Magnoliopsida; Asterales; Asteraceae
Source: RNAcentral
GGUUGCGAUCGUGCCAGCACUAAAGCACCGAAUUCCAUUAGAAC